This 1149-nucleotide long non-coding RNA is filed under the name Mus spicilegus (steppe mouse). RNAcentral's name for it is "lncRNA (ENSMSIG00000021086.1)". The record is from RNAcentral. Lineage: Eukaryota; Metazoa; Chordata; Mammalia; Rodentia; Muridae.
CCAAAUGUGAGUUCCCUCUCAGUAUUACCCAUUGGCAUAAGCUGUCAAAAUGGGGUCACAGCCUGGGCUGUUCAUAUUCUACUGCUCAGGUAGGUACAGCGUUACAACAGAUCCACUUCUGAUGUUACACACUGCCCACAAAGCUCUGUACACCAUUUAUCCUCAUAGCUGUCAAUGAGCAAUGCUGACCAACUGGCACAACCCACCUAAAACUCUCCUUGGAUUCAUGAGCAGCGUCGAUCACUGUGCUUCAUACAUUGUGUCCAUGAUGCUCUUGUUUUACGAAAGUAAUCCAGGCAAUCCCAGGCCUUCUGGAAUUUACUCUUAUAUCACUUUUCCCUCCCGCUUGCAUGUCCUCUCCCUAGCUCCUUAUAGCAAGCUAUUUGAUAGGCACUAUUAUUUCUGUCUUCAAAAGAAACACAGGAUGUUCCAGAAGAAUUCAAGAGUUGACCGGGUGACACAGUAGGAGAAGAGGCAGUUCCAUGUGCAGGCCAGGCCAAGGAUGUCAGAAACCAGCUGGAAGGAAAGGUCAGAGAGAAGAGUCCUCAGGAGCUGACUGGGCUCUCGUUCCUCCCCUGUGGCAGCAAUGGGCCAUUUCCAUCAGAGGCGGUGCCAUGCUGACCCAAAUGCCUGAGUGCUACUCACCUCCAGAGAGUGAGGAGUCUGAAAAGUUCUCUUAUUGUUUGUUUGCUUGCUUGCUUGCUUGCUUGCUUGAGCCCCAGAGAUUCAGCCCAGGACCCAGGACCUCUUCAAUACUCGGCAGGCAGUGUGCAGCUGAGCUACUCCCGUGGCCAGGAACAAGUUUGGUUAUGUAUAUGGGUUUUUUGUUUUCUGUUGCAGGGCUGGGAUCAAAACCAGGGACAUUUGCAUGCUAGUCACAUGCUUUGCCCACUACACUAUAUCUCCAUUUCUAUUGUGUUGAUACUCUUGAAACAUCUAAGCCACUCCCACAGCUGACUCUGAUACAAAUUGACUGGGUUCUUUCCUUCUCCUUAGAUUCAGAUAAGCAUCUGGGUUUACCUGAACAUCAGGGUAUUGUCAUCUGCCCUGAUAAGAGAUGGCCCUGUGAUAUUCUCCUAAAAUGGUUUCUGUCAAACAUCCCCUUUAUAAAUUACCUUUUUUAUUUCUUGCAAUUAGUAAAUUUGGCAA